AAAAAUCUUGUUAGUAUUUAAAAUGCAAUCGAAUAAUCUUCUCUUUUUUUUUUGGACUUUAGUAAAAUGUUUUAUGAUUAUACCAUUUGAUGUUACAGCAUGUCUGGUAAUAUCAACUAUGAUUUUCACCAAACACCCAACUUAUCUCUUUUCUUUCAAUCUCCACCACCACCACAAUGCACCACCAGCCAUCGCCACGUGGGGUGUGAGUUUAUAGAAUGAGAGAUGAGAGGAAGGAAAUCGAGAUAGCCAACCGCGGUAGUUCUAUGAGGAUGAAGGUAGUUGUAACCAGUCAAUCAACAAUGUCCAGAAAUAGUGAGAUCGGAGUUGUUUUCAGGAAACGGCUCUCUGACGGUCAAGUUAAUCAUCAGAAGACCGGAAAAUGUAGAGAGAGAAAGUGUAGGUUCUAUAUUUAGCUAAAAGUGCGUACCUUUUUUAGAACAAAGGUUCUCCUUAUAUAGCAUAGCUCGUCGAUGAGCACCAAUUGUUGUGUCAGUAGGCAAGUUACUAACCCAACCAUACUUCUGAGGCU
This 532-nucleotide long non-coding RNA is filed under the name Actinidia chinensis (golden kiwifruit). RNAcentral describes it as "long non-coding RNA (ACHI_LNC005097)". Lineage: Eukaryota; Viridiplantae; Streptophyta; Magnoliopsida; Ericales; Actinidiaceae. The record is from RNAcentral.